UCUGGGCUAGCUCAAUAGGCAGAGCGGCGGACUGUUAAUCCGUGUAUGCAGGUUCGAGCCCUGCGCCCAGAG
RNAcentral lists this transfer RNA (72 nucleotides) under Salana multivorans. It matches the Rfam family "tRNA". From Rfam's summary of the family: Transfer RNA (tRNA) molecules are approximately 80 nucleotides in length. Lineage: Bacteria; Bacillati; Actinomycetota; Actinomycetes; Micrococcales; Beutenbergiaceae. The record is from Rfam by way of RNAcentral.